RNAcentral lists this transfer RNA (68 nucleotides) under Cavia porcellus (domestic guinea pig). It matches the Rfam family "tRNA". Rfam says of the family: Transfer RNA (tRNA) molecules are approximately 80 nucleotides in length. The record is from Rfam by way of RNAcentral. Lineage: Eukaryota; Metazoa; Chordata; Mammalia; Rodentia; Caviidae.
GGAUAUAGCUUAGCAGCACAAGCAUCUACCUGGUAAGUACAAGGUCCUGAGUUCAAUUCCUGGUAUCC